Molecule: ribosomal RNA, 777 nt
Filed under: uncultured bacterium
Lineage: Bacteria
Description: bacterial SSU rRNA
Rfam family: Bacterial small subunit ribosomal RNA
Source: RNAcentral
AGAGUUUGAUCCUGGCUCAGGACGAACGCUGGCGGCGUGCUUAACACAUGCAAGUCGAACGGUGAUACUGGGGCUUGCUCUGGUUGAUCAGUGGCGAACGGGUGAGUAACACGUGAGUAACCUGCCCUUGACUCUGGGAUAACUGCUGGAAACGGUGGCUAAUACUGGAUAUGAGAUCUUGCCGCAUGGUGGGGUCUGGAAAGAUUUUUCGGUCAGGGAUGGACUCGCGGCCUAUCAGCUUGUUGGUGGGGUGAUGGCUCACCAAGGCGACGACGGGUAGCCGGCCUGAGAGGGCGACCGGCCACACUGGGACUGAGACACGGCCCAGACUCCUACGGGAGGCAGCAGUGGGGAAUAUUGCACAAUGGGCGCAAGCCUGAUGCAGCGACGCCGCGUGAGGGAUGAAGGCCUUCGGGUUGUAAACCUCUUUCAGCAGGGAAGAAGCGCAAGUGACGGUACCUGCAGAAGAAGCGCCGGCUAACUACGUGCCAGCAGCCGCGGUAAUACGUAGGGCGCAAGCGUUGUCCGGAAUUAUUGGGCGUAAAGAGCUCGUAGGCGGUUUGUCGCGUCUGCUGUGAAAACUUCAGGCUCAACCUGGGGCUUGCAGUGGGUACGGGCAGACUAGAGUGCGGUAGGGGUGACUGGAAUUCCUGGUGUAGCGGUGGAAUGCGCAGAUAUCAGGAGGAACACCGAUGGCGAAGGCAGGUCACUGGGCCGCAACUGACGCUGAGGAGCGAAAGCAUGGGGAGCGAACAGGAUUAGAUACCCUAGUAGUCC